This 551-nucleotide ribosomal RNA is filed under the name uncultured bacterium. RNAcentral's name for it is "bacterial SSU rRNA". It matches the Rfam family "Bacterial small subunit ribosomal RNA", at positions 8 to 548 of the family's 1533-position model. The record is from RNAcentral.
AGAGUUUGAUUAUGGCUCAGGAUGAACGCUAGCGACAGGCUUAACACAUGCAAGUCGAGGGGCAGCGGGGAAGUAGCAAUACUUCCGCCGGCGACCGGCGCACGGGUGAGUAACACGUAUGGAACCUGCCCGUAGCAGGGGGAUAAGCGGAAGAAAUUCCGUCUAAUAUCGCGUAAUAACUCCGAGAGGCAUCUCCUGGGGUUUAAAGGGUAACACCGGCUACGGAUGGCCAUGCGGCGCAUUAGCUAGUUGGCGGGGUAACGGCCCACCAAGGCGACGAUGCGUAGGGGUUCUGAGAGGAAGGUCCCCCACACUGGUACUGAGACACGGACCAGACUCCUACGGGAGGCAGCAGUGAGGAAUAUUGGUCAAUGGGCGCGAGCCUGAACCAGCCAAGUCGCGUGAGGGAAGACGGUCCUAUGGAUUGUAAACCUCUUUUGUCGGGGAGCAAAAGACGCCACGUGUGGCGUUCCGAGAGUACCCGAAGAAAAAGCAUCGGCUAACUCCGUGCCAGCAGCCGCGGUAAUACGGAUGAUGCGAGCGUUAUCCGG